GACGAACGCUGACGGCGUGCUUAACACAUGCAAGUCGAACGGAAAGGCCCUGCUUUUGUGGGGUGCUCGAGUGGCGAAAGGGUGAGUAACACGUGAGUAACCUGCCCUUGACUUUGGGAUAACUUCAGGAAACUGGGGCUAAUACCGGAUAGGAGCUCCUGCUGCAUGGUGGGGGUUGGAAAGUUUCGGCGGUUGGGGAUGGACUCGCGGCUUAUCAGCUUGUUGGUGGGGUAGUGGCUUACCAAGGCUUUGACGGGUAGCCGGCCUGAGAGGGUGACCGGCCACAUUGGGACUGAGAUACGGCCCAGACUCCUACGGGAGGCAGCAGUGGGGAAUAUUGCACAAUGGGCGGAAGCCUGAUGCAGCAACGCCGCGUGCGGGAUGACGGCCUUCGGGUUGUAAACCGCUUUCGCCUGUGACGAAGCGUGAGUGACGGUAAUGGGUAAAGAAGCACCGGCUAACUACGUG
Molecule: ribosomal RNA, 468 nt
Filed under: uncultured bacterium
Lineage: Bacteria
Description: partial 16S ribosomal RNA
Rfam family: Bacterial small subunit ribosomal RNA
Source: RNAcentral